AUACGUAGGUGGCGAGCGUUAUCCGGAUUUACUGGGUGUAAAGGGCGCGUAGGCGGGGAAGCAAGUCAGAUGUGAAAUCCAUGGGCUCAACUCAUGAACUGCAUUUGAAACUGUUUCUCUUGAGUGCCGGAGAGGUAGACGGAAUUCCUAGUGUAGCGGUGAAAUGCGUAGAUAUUAGGAGGAACACCAGUGGCGAAGGCGGCUUUCUGGACUGAUACUGACACUGAGGCACGAAAGCGUGGGGAGCAAACAGGAUUAGAUACCCUGGUAGUCCACGCCGUAAACGAUGAGUACUAGGUGUCGGCCCUAAGGGUCGGUGCCGCAGUUAACACAUUAAGUACUCCGCCUGGGAAGUACGCUCGCAAGAGUGAAACUCAAAUGAAUUGGCGGGG
This 392-nucleotide ribosomal RNA is filed under the name uncultured bacterium. RNAcentral describes it as "partial 16S ribosomal RNA". It matches the Rfam family "Bacterial small subunit ribosomal RNA", at positions 523 to 918 of the family's 1533-position model. The record is from RNAcentral.